This 479-nucleotide ribosomal RNA is filed under the name Aphanizomenon flos-aquae. Its description in RNAcentral is "bacterial SSU rRNA". It matches the Rfam family "Bacterial small subunit ribosomal RNA", at positions 344 to 837 of the family's 1533-position model. The record is from RNAcentral. Lineage: Bacteria; Bacillati; Cyanobacteriota; Cyanophyceae; Nostocales; Aphanizomenonaceae.
GGAGGCAGCAGUGGGGAAUUUUCCGCAAUGGGCGAAAGCCUGACGGAGCAAUACCGCGUGAGGGAGGAAGGCUCUUGGGUUGUAAACCUCUUUUCUCAGGGAAGAACAGAAUGACGGUACCUGAGGAAUAAGCAUCGGCUAACUCCGUGCCAGCAGCCGCGGUAAUACGGAGGAUGCAAGCGUUAUCCGGAAUGAUUGGGCGUAAAGGGUCCGCAGGUGGCAUUGUAAGUCUGCUGUUAAAGAGUUUGGCUCAACCAAAUAAGAGCAGUGGAAACUACAAAGCUAGAGUGUGGUCGGGGCAGAGGGAAUUCCUGGUGUAGCGGUGAAAUGCGUAGAUAUCAGGAAGAACACCAGUGGCGAAGGCGCUCUGCUAGGCCGAGACUGACACUGAGGGACGAAAGCUAGGGGAGCGAAUGGGAUUAGAUACCCCAGUAGUCCUAGCCGUAAACGAUGGAUACUAGGCGUAGCUCGUAUCGACC